UUCUCAAACUCCUGAGCUCAAAGCAGUCCACCCACCUUGGCCUCCCAGAGUUCUGGGAUUACAGGUGUGAGCCAUCUUGCUCAUUCUAGUUUAAACUUUUGAGUGGUUUGUGUCUCCUGAUUGGACUCCUACAAAUACAGAAUUGAUGCUAGGAAGGGUACCAGGAGAUAGACGCACACAGAUGGGAUUUGGGAAUAGGUUUGGUUAUCCAAGGAGCAGUGCUGAGCUCCUUGCAAUGGGAUAUGGGAUGCUGGUGAUUUCCAGGAAGUGCGCUCACAAUGACUCAAGCUGCCACAUACUGUUGAUUGUGAAAUGCCAGUUGAAGCAUAUGUCCUGCAAGCUUAGGGGUGCUACAAGUUGACCACUGCAGCAGUAAAGAUGACUCUGAAGAAUGGCGUGGGAUGGUUCCUUUCAAAUGCACUUGAGCAGCGGUCUCCAACCACAGGGCCACAGAGCUGGAGGUGGACAGUCUAGUUGCAGGAAAACAAGCUCAGAGAUCCCACUGAGUCUACAUUAUACUGGAUCUACCAUGAAAGACUUGUGAAUCCAGGAAGAGAGACUGACUGGGCAACAUGUUAUUCAGGUACAAAAAGAUUUGGACUGUAACUUAAAAAUGAUCAAAUUAUGUUUCCCAUGCAUCAGGUGCAAUGGGAAGCUCUUCUGGAGAGUGAGAGAAGCUUCCAGUUAAGGUGACAUUGAAGCCAAGUCCUGAAAGAUGAGGAAGAGUUGUAUGAGAGUGGGGAGGGAAGGGGGAGGUGGAGGGAUGGGGAAUGGGCCGGGAUGGGAUAGCGCAAACUGCCCGGGAAGGGACACCAGCACUGUACAGACCUGAACAAUGAAGAUGGCAUAUUUUGUUCAGGGAAUGGUGAAUUAAGUGUGGCAGGAAUGCUUU
This 892-nucleotide long non-coding RNA is filed under the name Homo sapiens (human). Its description in RNAcentral is "HSALNT0387892". The record is from RNAcentral. Lineage: Eukaryota; Metazoa; Chordata; Mammalia; Primates; Hominidae.